UACGUAGGGGGCAAGCGUUAUCCGGAUUUACUGGGUGUAAAGGGAGCGUAGGCGGCAAGACAAGUCUGAUGUGAAAGCCCGGGGCUCAACCCCGGGACUGCAUUGGAAACUGUUUAGCUAGAGUGUCGGAGAGGUAAGUGGAAUUCCUAGUGUAGCGGUGAAAUGCGUAGAUAUUAGGAGGAACAUCAGUGGCGAAGGCGACUUACUGGACGAUAACUGACGCUGAGGCUCGAAAGCGUGGGGAGCAAACAGGAUUAGAUACCCUGGUAGUCCACGCUGUAAACGAUGAAUACUAGGUGUCGGGUGGCAAAGCCAUUCGGUGCCGCAGCUAACGCAAUAAGUAUUCCACCUGGGGAGUACGUUCGCAAGAAUGAA
Molecule: ribosomal RNA, 375 nt
Filed under: uncultured bacterium
Lineage: Bacteria
Description: bacterial SSU rRNA
Rfam family: Bacterial small subunit ribosomal RNA
Source: RNAcentral